AGAGUUUUUGUAAAGACAUCCUUUUCUCUCUUGCAGCUUCUAUCAGGAUUUUAAGAGGGCAGGCAGAACUUUAAAGCAAAGGAAAUUGCUUGUUUUUGUGAAAUUAACCAGUCUGUUAUCAAGGCGGAGGACAAGAUACGAAUGCUAAUCAUUGUGAAGAAACUCAUUACGGAAUUUUCUCCAAUACAUAGGCAAAAGAAGUGGCUGUUAUCAUUUUGCACUAUAACCAGACAUAUAAUGCUGUUGCUCCACAUCCACGUCAGAGCUUUGCUGAAGUUACUAAUGACAUUUGUAAUGUGAUGAAGGGAGAAUAUACUAUGCGCUGCUUUCCAUAAUGGCUAAGAUAAAUGACUAUUACUUAUAGUCCUCAAAUGCAAGCCAUCCCAAUCCGAAAGCAGCUCUGCAGAAGAGGAAUGCGC
Molecule: long non-coding RNA, 419 nt
Filed under: Homo sapiens (human)
Lineage: Eukaryota; Metazoa; Chordata; Mammalia; Primates; Hominidae
Description: HSALNT0321979
Source: RNAcentral